GGGGAUUUAGCUCAGUGGUAGAGCGCUUGCCUAGCAAACGCAAGGGCCUGGGUUCGGUCCCCAGACCUCA
This 70-nucleotide transfer RNA is filed under the name Rattus norvegicus (Norway rat). It matches the Rfam family "tRNA". Rfam says of the family: Transfer RNA (tRNA) molecules are approximately 80 nucleotides in length. Their secondary structure includes four short double-helical elements and three loops (D, anti-codon, and T loops). Lineage: Eukaryota; Metazoa; Chordata; Mammalia; Rodentia; Muridae. The record is from Rfam by way of RNAcentral.